This 2980-nucleotide small RNA is filed under the name Pyricularia oryzae. Its description in RNAcentral is "Magnaporthe oryzae sRNA M_BR32_EuGene_00146391". The record is from RNAcentral. Lineage: Eukaryota; Fungi; Ascomycota; Sordariomycetes; Magnaporthales; Pyriculariaceae.
AAUCCUAUAUUUAGGGUCUGUUCUGUCGCAACUUUCAAAAUAUCCCUUUUGUUUUAUAUUUAUAUUUAAAUCCUCAAUUCCUUCGGAAAUAUAUAAUAAACUUUCGAAAAUAAGGUAAACAGCGAUAUUAGAAAAAAAUCAAUCGAAACUUUAAAAAAUUAUUAAACAAAUGUUACAAAUACGGAAAAUUGUCCGGGGUCGAGCUGGUUUUCUAUAUAAAAUACCCAAAUAAGGACGAAUUUGUCGUCUUCGAGUCGGAAAGAUACAAUUGCGACGGAAAAAUCACGGAAAAGGUUUGCUUUAUUCGCCGACCGGUGUAUGGACAGACCUAAUAUUCCGCCUUUAAAAAACUUUAGUAAAAUCGAAGAUUUACAAACCAAACAAUAUCGAGGAUAUAUUUAAUAUAUUGCAUAAGAAAAAGGUGCAAAAGGUACAAAAGGUGCAAAAAUUAGGUCGAGACCAACGGAAAAUAUUUAUUUAAAAGAGGAUUUCGGAUUAUUUACGGGAAUCCGCGUUGGAUUUAUCUGAAAAAAUAACGCGAUUGGGACAGUUUUUUAAAAUCCCAGACCUUAGGAUCCGGGUAUAAGGCCAAACGUCAGAGCCGGGCUGGUGAGCAUUUUUGGAGAUGGCUGGUUUUUUUUUUUUUCUUUUUCAGGUAGUUGACGAUUAACCAAUGGGCAAUUGAAAAUAUUUUGUAUAAAAAAAGGGAGUUUGUAAAUAAAUUAUUAGAAUAACGAACUGUUAAUUUAUAAUAUAAGGCCGCGGAAUUUGGGAAAGUUUUUAUUUAUAAAAAGCACAAAUCCACUUUAGUAAAAUAAAAUAAAAAUUUAAAGUUAAAUUGCUGGCGGAAAAACAUAUUUAUUAUAGGUAGAAAAGGAAUUAAAUAAAGUAAAAGGAAGGUUUUGCAAUCGGAAAUAGGGACGGAUAAAUAAAAAACAAAACCAGGCGACGGAACCCAAGAAUUGGCCCAUAUACCGGAUAGCUUUUGGGAGGUAAGCGAAAAUAAAACUGGUGUUAAAAUGUCGAGAAAAUUAAAAACCAGACAGCGAUAAAAGAUAUAUUUAACCCUCCCGGUAUAAUUUAACCGGAAUUUUUAUUAUAUGGUUGGUUUAUUAAAAUCGAACUUCUUUAUAAAAUUAGUUUUUUUUAGCCAAAACCUUUGGUCAAUUGUUAAAUAUUUAUAUUUGACGUUCCAACGAACAAAUAAAGUAUAAGCCCAAAGUUUGAAAACCCGCCGUGCGCAAUAUCGCCAGUCCGGAUGGAAUGCAAUAUGCCAAAUGUCUUUAUAACCGGUUCGCAAAAGCCCAGGCUGGAGGCCAACGGACAGACGGUACGUAUAUUAAUAAUUUCUUAUUUUCGUCGCUAAUUCGGUUAGGAUACGUAUAACGUAAUUAACCGUUAUUUGUGGAAUGCAAUCCAUUUAAUCGAAACCUCCCGCCGGAAAUGUAACAAAAUAUUUCAAAAUUACAGUAACUUUUUCGAAAGUUAUAAAAUGUUAUAGGAUUAAAACCAAAAGCUCGAAUCGAAAUUUUCCGCUGUUUCGGAUACCAAUAUUUAGCUGCGGGAUUGCAUUUCGACGAACGAAAUACUAAAGGCGGCAUUCGGGUUUAAAUUUAAGGAAAGCGAGGAUAAAAACGCCGCGGUUAAGGAAUGGUAUUAUUAAGAAAUUAAAAACAAGGACGUCGAAAUUAUUAUAUUAAAGGAAAAAUUAAACGCGAUAUAUAAAUAGGUUGAACAAUCUGGAAUAAAUAUUGCAACCCCCAAAAUGUAAUUACCAAAAGGCGGAAAUUUGUCUAUUACGCAACGGAAACGCGCUAUUGCCGCAAAAGUAAUUUAAAAUGGAUUAUACGUUUAACAUUAUUUUUUUCGUACUGGGAGAAUGGGAUAAUGGGAGGAAAUAUGGUACGACAGAUGCAAAUAAUGGAAGCGAUAUAAGUAACCCGUUUGCAAAAUAAAAUAUAGGCGCUACGGUAUUAUAUAUUGGUUAUUUUACUAUAAUAGCGUUUGUUAAGGUUAUAUAAUUUCCAUAUAUUUGCAGUGGAAAUUAGUCCCAAGCCGGAACGUGGAUUAAUUUAUGCACCAACCCAAAAACAAAAACUAACAACUUAUUACCUUUAUAACCAAGACUUGAGCCUUUUGUUCCCAAAACCGUAAACCAAUCGCAUUAAGUUAUAAAACCCAAAUAUUUCAAAAACCGGCUCGAAAAAUUAAAAUUGUUUUACAUUUAAUUGGGGUAAAGGUUGCGAAUUCCGAUAAUAAUUUUUAUCCUUUUGGUUUGAGGCUUUUAAUUUUGCAAAUUAAUAUUCGACUUUGUCGUAAUAUUAUUAGGUGGGGUUUUUGGAUAGCCCGAGCUGCUAUUGGAUAUAUUUUGGCUUUCCGUGGUUAUAUGCGACCUCGUGCAUUUUUUGCGCGUAUCGAUUAGCAGGUCCAUAUUUAUAUUUUAAACUGUAGCGAUCGCUAGUGCGGCUCAAAUUGUGCUCUUUUAUCCUAACGUAACAAAUAUAUUGAAAAACCGUAAAAAAAAUGGUAAAUAUAUUUGCUGGGAUUUGGGGAUAACGAACGGCUGUGGUUUGGCUAUUGGAUUAUUAUUGCUGUUUUUAUAUUAAAAUGGAAAUAUGUUUUUUUAUAAUUUGCGUCGGUUUAAGUCGCCGGGCGGAAAACAGGAAAUUGGUCCACGGCCGAUAUAUUUAGGUACCAAAAAAGGGCCUGGUCCGAAAAUAAGUAAACUUGGAACUGGUGUUUUUUUGUAGCAAAGGCGGUGUCCUUAUAUUAACCACUAUAUGGCUUUUAUUAUAAAUAUUUUUUUAUUGGGGGAAAUUAAUUGUAAAACCAUACCACGGUUAAAAAUAAUUAACUAAACCAAAGUUUAUCCUGGCAAUUAAAUAUCUUAUUUUGGUUUAUUUCAGGUGCGAGCAAGUUUAAUAAUAGGAAGAUAAUUGAAAACAUUGCUUUCGAAUUUCCCGUAUGGCCAUAUUGUAAU